RNAcentral lists this ribosomal RNA (472 nucleotides) under uncultured bacterium. RNAcentral describes it as "partial 16S ribosomal RNA". It matches the Rfam family "Bacterial small subunit ribosomal RNA", at positions 28 to 507 of the family's 1533-position model. The record is from RNAcentral.
GACGAACGCUGGCGGCGUGCUUAACACAUGCAAGUCGAACGCUGAAGCUUGGUGCUUGCGCUGGGUGGAUGAGUGGCGAACGGGUGAGUAAUACGUGAGUAACCUGCCCUUGACUCUGGGAUAAGCCUGGGAAACUGGUUCUAAUACUGGAUACGACAUGUCACCGCAUGGUGGUGUGUGGAAAGGGUUUUACUGGUUUUGGAUGGGCUCACGGCCUAUCAGCUUGUUGGUGGGGUAAUGGCUCACCAAGGCGACGACGGGUAGCCGGCCUGAGAGGGUGACCGGCCACACUGGGACUGAGACACGGCCCAGACUCCUACGGGAGGCAGCAGUGGGGAAUAUUGCACAAUGGGCGGAAGCCUGAUGCAGCGACGCCGCGUGAGGGAUGACGGCCUUCGGGUUGUAAACCUCUUUCAGCACGGAAGAAGCGAAAGUGACGGUACGUGCAGAAGAAGCGCCGGCUAACUACGUG